Molecule: ribosomal RNA, 253 nt
Filed under: uncultured bacterium
Lineage: Bacteria
Description: partial 16S ribosomal RNA
Rfam family: Bacterial small subunit ribosomal RNA
Source: RNAcentral
UACGAAGGGGGCUAGCGUUGUUCGGAAUUACUGGGCGUAAAGGGUUUGUAGGCGGUUGAACAAGUCAGAUGUGAAAGCCCAAGGCUUAACCUUGGAAUUGCAUUUGAAACUGUUCAGCUAGAGAAUGUUAGAGGAAAGUGGAAUUCCUAGUGUAGGAGUGAAAUCCGUAGAGAUUAGGAGGAAUAUCGAUGGCGAAGGCAGCUUUCUGGGACAUUUCUGACGCUGAGAAACGAAAGCGUGGGUAGCAAACAGG